This 790-nucleotide ribosomal RNA is filed under the name Escherichia coli. Its description in RNAcentral is "partial 23S ribosomal RNA". It matches the Rfam family "Bacterial large subunit ribosomal RNA", at positions 2159 to 2925 of the family's 2925-position model. Lineage: Bacteria; Pseudomonadati; Pseudomonadota; Gammaproteobacteria; Enterobacterales; Enterobacteriaceae. The record is from RNAcentral.
GAAGUGUGGACGCCAGUCUGCAUGGAGCCGACCUUGAAAUACCACCCUUUAAUGUUUGAUGUUCUAACGUUGACCCGUAAUCCGGGUUGCGGACAGUGUCUGGUGGGUAGUUUGACUGGGGCGGUCUCCUCCUAAAGAGUAACGGAGGAGCACGAAGGUUGGCUAAUCCUGGUCGGACAUCAGGAGGUUAGUGCAAUGGCAUAAGCCAGCUUGACUGCGAGCGUGACGGCGCGAGCAGGUGCGAAAGCAGGUCAUAGUGAUCCGGUGGUUCUGAAUGGAAGGGCCAUCGCUCAACGGAUAAAAGGUACUCCGGGGAUAACAGGCUGAUACCGCCCAAGAGUUCAUAUCGACGGCGGUGUUUGGCACCUCGAUGUCGGCUCAUCACAUCCUGGGGCUGAAGUAGGUCCCAAGGGUAUGGCUGUUCGCCAUUUAAAGUGGUACGCGAGCUGGGUUUAGAACGUCGUGAGACAGUUCGGUCCCUAUCUGCCGUGGGCGCUGGAGAACUGAGGGGGGCUGCUCCUAGUACGAGAGGACCGGAGUGGACGCAUCACUGGUGUUCGGGUUGUCAUGCCAAUGGCACUGCCCGGUAGCUAAAUGCGGAAGAGAUAAGUGCUGAAAGCAUCUAAGCACGAAACUUGCCCCGAGAUGAGUUCUCCCUGACUCCUUGAGAGUCCUGAAGGAACGUUGAAGACGACGACGUUGAUAGGCCGGGUGUGUAAGCGCAGCGAUGCGUUGAGCUAACCGGUACUAAUGAACCGUGAGGCUUAACCUUACAACGCCGAAGGUGUUU